This 458-nucleotide ribosomal RNA is filed under the name Escherichia coli. RNAcentral's name for it is "bacterial SSU rRNA". It matches the Rfam family "Bacterial small subunit ribosomal RNA", at positions 283 to 733 of the family's 1533-position model. The record is from RNAcentral. Lineage: Bacteria; Pseudomonadati; Pseudomonadota; Gammaproteobacteria; Enterobacterales; Enterobacteriaceae.
CUAGCUGGUCUGAGAGGAUGACCAGCCACACUGGAACUGAGACACGGUCCAGACUCCUACGGGAGGCAGCAGUGGGGAAUAUUGCACAAUGGGCGCAAGCCUGAUGCAGCCAUGCCGCGUGUAUGAAGAAGGCCUUCGGGUUGUAAAGUACUUUCAGCGGGGAGGAAGGGAGUAAAGUUAAUACCUUUGCUCAUUGACGUUACCCGCAGAAGAAGCACCGGCUAACUCCGUGCCAGCAGCCGCGGUAAUACGGAGGGUGCAAGCGUUAAUCGGAAUUACUGGGCGUAAAGCGCACGCAGGCGGUUUGUUAAGUCAGAUGUGAAAUCCCCGGGCUCAACCUGGGAACUGCAUCUGAUACUGGCAAGCUUGAGUCUCGUAGAGGGGGGUAGAAUUCCAGGUGUAGCGGUGAAAUGCGUAGAGAUCUGGAGGAAUACCGGUGGCGAAGGCGGCCCCCUGGA